Non-coding RNA from Lupinus albus (white lupine), 517 nucleotides. NCBI's taxonomy places the organism in Eukaryota, Viridiplantae, Streptophyta, Magnoliopsida, Fabales, Fabaceae. The record is from the annotation of a GenBank genome assembly.
AUGGGUGAUUACGAAUCUAGUAUUAGUGUAAAUAAGUUGGACUAUUUGAAAAUCUGCACGGAUCAAUACUGCAUUAGCUAUUAAUGGAUUAACACCAUUACUCAUUGCAAGGCUUAAUCAUCAAGAUGCCAUAGCUCGUCUUAAUUUACUCAAGCUGAUAAAGGCUGUUUAUGAGCAUCACCCUCAACCCAAGAAACUGAUUGUGGAGAAUGAUUUACCUCAAAAACUUCAAAACUUAAUAGGGGAGCGAAGAGAUGGACAAGUCUUGGUGAAACAAAUGGCUACUUCAUUACUUAAAGCUCUGCAUAUAAACACUGUUUUGUAAAGUCAAAUCUCAAUAGCUCACAUCCUUUAUGUGUAUAUUCUAAUUUAUUGCUGCAAAAAUUGUUAUAUUUAUAUAAAGUUUUCACCAUAUGUGGUUUUCUCAUUUUUAUUUCCCACAGUUAAGUGGGGCAAAAUAACUUACUAACCCUUGUCUUUUUUUCUCAACUUGUGUGUCAAUUUUAUUUCUACUCUC